RNAcentral lists this ribosomal RNA (253 nucleotides) under uncultured bacterium. RNAcentral's name for it is "partial 16S ribosomal RNA". It matches the Rfam family "Bacterial small subunit ribosomal RNA", at positions 524 to 776 of the family's 1533-position model. The record is from RNAcentral.
UACAGAGGUCUCAAGCGUUGUUCGGAUUCAUUGGGCGUAAAGGGUGUGUAGGUGGCGCGCUAAGUCGGGUGUGAAAUUUCGGAGCUUAACUCCGAAACUGCAUUCGAUACUGGCGUGCUUGAGGACUGGAGAGGAGACUGGAAUUCAUGGUGUAGCAGUGAAAUGCGUAGAUAUCAAGCGGAACACCAGUGGCGAAGGCGAGUCCCUGGACAACUCCUGACACUGAGGCACGAAAGCUAGGGGAGCAAACAGG